Molecule: non-coding RNA, 648 nt
Organism: Paramuricea clavata
Lineage: Eukaryota; Metazoa; Cnidaria; Anthozoa; Malacalcyonacea; Plexauridae
Source: the annotation of a GenBank genome assembly
AUUAAAAACAUGUCUAUCUAAGAAAUACCAAUCCAAGAUUGUGUGUCACGUACCUCGUGUAUCACUUCAAAACAGCCAACAUUUGAGCCUUCUUGAAAAAUAGAGCUAGCAUCCAAAUAUGACAGUUCCAAUGUAAACAAAUACGAUUUUUAUGCAGACUAUUGGAGCAACCUGGACUAUAAGCCAUAUUAAAGCGUAUAUAGAUGUAAAACUUCACAAAACAAAAAUAUAAACGUUCAGAAAUAACGGUUCGACGAAUAAAUAACACAGUUAUUGUCAGUUAAUCCACCUCGGAAUCUACUCCACUCCUCGAUAGUGAAACGUCGACAUAAUUCUGUAUAUUCUUGAUGGAUUUCUUUCAAAAAGCCCCCAGAAGAAAAAGCGUGAUUAAAAGAACAAUUUGACGUUCACUUUAUACACUUACGAAGACUUUAAGACCGUUAAAAUAGCGAAAAUGUAUGCACGUAUUGCUUCGUAUAUAAGAUCGGUGAACACUUUUUUCCAUCCAGCAAACCGCCCUAUCGAUUUUGUAAAGUCGUUUCUUUUUGGAUUUUUUCAUUAAUUCGGUUAGGGUUAGAGUUAGGGUUGAGGUUAGGGUUAGGGGUUAGGGUAGGGGUAGGGUUUGGGUUAGUUACAUAGCCAUUUAAC